AUGUGCCUCGAGUCACAUGGUACCCUGGAAAGCUUAGAAAAUGCUAUUGCUAAUAUGGUAGAAUUUAUAUUUCUUCUGGGUGGAUGUGAGCGCAUGUGCCGUAGGCCAUAUGACGUUUAUCUUUACACUGACAAUUUCAUGUUCGGCCGACACAAUGAGAAGCAAAAGCUGUUGAGCUUCUUGUUGGAGAACAACAACCAUCCUGGUGAUCAUGCACUUGCAGUCCUUCCAAUCAUAGGUGGUGUUGGCGUUGGAAGGAAAACCUUGGUUGCUCAUGUGUGUGGCGACGAAAGGGUUCACUCACGCUUCUCCUCUAUUUUGCACUUGAAUGGACACAACCUCUUGACCAUACUUGACCAUGGAAGGACCAUGUCUGGGACGAUGUUGGUAAUUAUUGAGUUUGUUUCUGAUGUAGGCGAUGAUGAAUGGAAAAUGUUUCACUCGUUUCUCAUAAGAAUGAGCAGAGGAAGCAAGAUCAUCAUCAUAAGUAAACUUAAAAUGUUAGCCCGGUUUGGAUCAGUGCAGCCUGUUUUUCUAAGUGUUCUGUCUUAUAACGAGUUGAAAUACCUUUUCAAGAAACUGGCAUUCGGGAGUGUAGACCCUGCAGAACAUCCACGUCUAGUACAAAUAGCAGAUGAUUUUACCAAGGUGUUGUACAUUGUGCCAAGUACACUUCCUGCAACAAAUACACUAGCGGAUGUGUUGAGAAAGAACCUCAGUGUUCGGUUUUGGCUCUGCAUAUUGGACAAGGUGAUAAGAUAUGCCAAAAGAAAUGUCUCCACAUAUGUGUGCACCCAAACAUGCUUUUCGAAGAAGGCCAUCAUGUGGACAUAA
Molecule: ribosomal RNA, 834 nt
Filed under: Triticum aestivum (bread wheat)
Lineage: Eukaryota; Viridiplantae; Streptophyta; Magnoliopsida; Poales; Poaceae
Description: partial small subunit ribosomal RNA
Source: RNAcentral